Molecule: ribosomal RNA, 466 nt
Filed under: uncultured bacterium
Lineage: Bacteria
Description: partial 16S ribosomal RNA
Rfam family: Bacterial small subunit ribosomal RNA
Source: RNAcentral
GACGAACGCUGGCGGCGUGCUUAACACAUGCAAGUCGAACGGAAAGGCCCUGCUUGCAGGGUACUCGAGUGGCGAACGGGUGAGUAACACGUGGGUGAUCUGCCCUGCACUUCGGGAUAAGCUUGGGAAACUGGGUCUAAUACCGGAUAGGACCGCACUUUAGUGUGUGUGGUGGAAAGUUUUUUCGGUGUAGGAUGAGCUCGCGGCCUAUCAGCUUGUUGGCGGGGUAAUGGCCUACCAAGGCGGCGACGGGUAGCCGGCCUGAGAGGGUGUACGGCCACAUUGGGACUGAGAUACGGCCCAGACUCCUACGGAAGGCAGCAGUGGGGAAUAUUGCACAAUGGGCGCAAGCCUGAUGCAGCGACGCCGCGUGGGGGAUGAAGGCCUUCGGGUUGUAAACUCCUUUCGCUAGGGACGAAGCUUUGUUGUGACGGUACCUAGAUAAGAAGCACCGGCUAACUACGUG